Molecule: long non-coding RNA, 1261 nt
Filed under: Homo sapiens (human)
Lineage: Eukaryota; Metazoa; Chordata; Mammalia; Primates; Hominidae
Description: HSALNT0036406
Source: RNAcentral
UCCUCUUGACCUGUGACUCCCAGUCUUAGUGUCAGAGAAGAAAUCAGAAGCAAAAUGAUUAUUCUGAAGGCAGAAGAAAAACAAAUAGAAAGUUACGUGCUGGCCAGGUGCGGUGGCUCACACGUGUAAUCCUAACACUUUGGGAAGCCGAGGUGAGCAGAUCACUUGAGGUCAGGAGUUCAAGACCAGCCUGGCCAACAUGGUGAAACCCUGUCUCUACUAAAAAUACAAAAAAUUAGCUGGGCAUGGUGGCAUGCACCUGUAAUCCCAGCUACUCGGGAGGCUGAGGUAUGGGAAUCCCUUGAACCUGGGAGGCGGAGGUUGCAGUGAGCCAAGAUCGUGCCACUGCACUCCAGCCUGGGGGAUAGAGCAAGACUCUAUCUCCAAAAAAGUAAAACAAAAGAAAGAAAAAAAAAGAAAGGUAUACGCCAUAUAAAUGAGAGAGGUCCUUGGAGCUGGGAGGGUGGGCUUCUUAGCCCCGGUGCUAGGAACUAAGAAUGAGUAACAACUGAAAAAUCCCUCUCUUUAGCGGGUAGCAGGUCACCCGCUCGCACUUGACUGAUAGUUGUGGGACACCUUGGCUCUCUUUAGGAACACGUCUUUGAUAACCUGAAGGAGAAAAAAAAAUAAACAUGGAUUUCUAAGUUGGCUAUAACUGACUCCAGCUUUCCUGCUAAAAGCUCUAAUGAUAUCUUCAUGUCAGUGUGAGUGAGGUUGAUGAAGCAGAUGGGAACCUGUUUUCAGGGGUGAAUGAAUAGCAAAUCGCUGGAGAAGAGCAUGGUUGGCCUGCAGUUCCUAGGUCAUAAUGCUCUCGAAAGAAACAAAGGCGUGUAUUUCCAUUCCUUUCUCCCCAGCCCCACCCCCAGGAUAUAAGCUCUGUGCAGAUGGGCACUUUGGCUUGUCCGUUCAACCACUUUCUCCUCAGCACCUAGGACAGGGCCUGAAGGAGCUCCGCACAUGCUUGGAUGAGGCACACGUGAUGUGAUGAUGACCAUCACCCAGGUUUGAAAAGAGGAACUGAAGGAAUUAAUGAUCCCUUACUUGCAAACCUUCUCAUCUUUCCAGAACCUCCCUUUCUGCCUCAGUUUCCCCUCUCUUUCCAGAGGCUGGCAUUUGGAAGCCCUGGGUCAUUAUGAUUCUUCCUCCACUGCUCACCACGUUCCAUUCAUUGGCAAAUCAUGUCCUUUCUGAUCUACAGUGUCCUUUGGAUUCCCUCUGCCAGGCUCUGUCUGUGCAACUGGAUGCUGAUUCCUGAGAGCGG